AGUGAACGCUGGCGGUAGGCCUAACACAUGCAAGUCGAACGGCAGCACAGUAAGAGCUUGCUCUUACGGGUGGCGAGUGGCGGACGGGUGAGGAAUACAUCGGAAUCUACUUUUUCGUGGGGGAUAACGUAGGGAAACUUAUGCUAAUACCGCAUACGACCUACGGGUGAAAGCAGGGGAUCUUCGGACCUUGCGCGAUUGAAUGAGCCGAUGUCGGAUUAGCUAGUUGGCAGGGUAAAGGCCCACCAAGGCGACGAUCCGUAGCUGGUCUGAGAGGAUGAUCAGCCACACUGGAACUGAGACACGGUCCAGACUCCUACGGGAGGCAGCAGUGGGGAAUAUUGGACAAUGGGCGCAAGCCUGAUCCAGCCAUACCGCGUGGGUGAAGAAGGCCUUCGGGUUGUAAAGCCCUUUUGUUGGGAAAGAAAAGCAGCAGGUUAAUACCCCGCUGUUCUGACAGUACCCAAAGAAUAAGCACCGGCUAACUUCGUG
This 492-nucleotide ribosomal RNA is filed under the name uncultured bacterium. RNAcentral's name for it is "partial 16S ribosomal RNA". It matches the Rfam family "Bacterial small subunit ribosomal RNA", at positions 29 to 507 of the family's 1533-position model. The record is from RNAcentral.